RNAcentral lists this ribosomal RNA (122 nucleotides) under Heliconius melpomene (postman butterfly). Lineage: Eukaryota; Metazoa; Arthropoda; Insecta; Lepidoptera; Nymphalidae. The record is from RNAcentral.
GCCAACGUCCAUACCACGUUGAACACACCGGUUCUCGUCUGAUCACCGAAGUUAAGCAACGUCGGGCGCGGUCAGUACUUGGAUGGGUGACCGCCUGGGAACACCGCGUGCCGUUGGCUUUU